Molecule: ribosomal RNA, 497 nt
Filed under: uncultured bacterium
Lineage: Bacteria
Description: partial 16S ribosomal RNA
Rfam family: Bacterial small subunit ribosomal RNA
Source: RNAcentral
GAUGAACGCUGGCGGCGUGCCUAAUACAUGCAAGUCGAGCGAACAGACGAGGAGCUUGCUCCUCUGACGUUAGCGGCGGACGGGUGAGUAACACGUGGAUAACCUACCUAUAAGACUGGGAUAACUUCGGGAAACCGGAGCCAAUACCGGAUAAUAUAUUGAACCGCAUGGUUCAAUAGUGAAAGACGGUUUUGCUGUCACUUAUAGAUGGAUCCGCGCCGCAUUAGCUAGUUGGUAAGGUAACGGCUUACCAAGGCAACGAUGCGUAGCCGACCUGAGAGGAUGAUCAGCCACACUGGAACUGAGACACGGUCCAGACUCCUACGGGAGGCAGCAGUAGGGAAUAUUCCGCAAUGGGCGAAAGCCUGACGGAGCAACGCCGCGUGAGUGAUGAAGGUCUUCGGAUCGUAAAACUCUGUUAUUAGGGAAGAACAAAUGUGUAAGUAACUAUGCACGUCUUGACGGUACCUAAUCAGAAAGCCACGGCUAACUACGUG